AUUCAGUUGACGAGUCCCAAAUGGGACGAAACACGUGUACUGGAU
This 45-nucleotide non-coding RNA is filed under the name Schistosoma mansoni. Lineage: Eukaryota; Metazoa; Platyhelminthes; Trematoda; Strigeidida; Schistosomatidae. The record is from RNAcentral.